This 458-nucleotide ribosomal RNA is filed under the name uncultured bacterium. RNAcentral describes it as "partial 16S ribosomal RNA". The record is from RNAcentral.
GACUACUGGGGUAUCUAAUCCUGUUUGAUCCCCACGCUUUCGUGCCUCAGCGUCAGUUGCGAGCCGGUGGGCUGCCUUCGCCAUCGGUGUUCCUCCUGAUAUCUACGCAUUUCACUGCUACACCAGGAAUUCCACCCACCUCUCUCGCACUCAAGACUUGCCGUAUCAAAGGCACCCCACGGGUUAAGCCCGUGGAUUUCACCUCUGACGCACAAGUCCGCCUACGCACCCUUUACACCCAGUAAUUCCGGACAACGCUCGGAUCCUACGUAUUACCGCGGCUGCUGGCACGUAGUUAGCCGAUCCUUCCUUUGAGGGUACCGUCUCAGUACAUCAAAUGUACCAUUCGUCCCCUCCGACAGCGGUUUACGAGGCUAAGCCCCUUCAUCCCGCACGCGGCGUCGCUGCAUCAGGAUUGCCCCCAUUGUGCAAUAUUCCUCACUGCAGCCUCCCGUAGG